RNAcentral lists this ribosomal RNA (497 nucleotides) under uncultured bacterium. Its description in RNAcentral is "partial 16S ribosomal RNA". It matches the Rfam family "Bacterial small subunit ribosomal RNA", at positions 28 to 507 of the family's 1533-position model. The record is from RNAcentral.
GAUGAACGCUGGCGGCGUGCCUAAUACAUGCAAGUCGAGCGAACAGACGAGGAGCUUGCUCCUCUGACGUUAGCGGCGGACGGGUGAGUAACACGUGGAUAGCCUACCUAUAAGACUGGGAUAACUUCGGGAAACCGGAGCUAAUACCGGAUAAUAUAUUGAACCGCAUGGUUCAAUAGUGAAAGACGGUUUUGCUGUCACUUAUAGAUGGAUCCGCGCCGCAUUAGCUAGUUGGUAAGGUAACGGCUUACCAAGGCAACGAUGCGUAGCCGACCUGAGAGGGUGAUCGGCCACACUGGAACUGAGACACGGUCCAGACUCCUACGGGAGGCAGCAGUAGGGAAUCUUCCGCAAUGGGCGAAAGCCUGACGGAGCAACGCCGCGUGAGUGAUGAAGGUCUUCGGAUCGUAAAACUCUGUUAUUAGGGAAGAACAAAUGUGUAAGUAACUAUGCACGUCUUGACGGUACCUAAUCAGAAAGCCACGGCUAACUACGUG